GAUCCUGGCUCAGGAUGAACGCUAGCUACAGGCUUAACACAUGCAAGUCGAGGGGCAGCAUUUUAGUUUGCUUGCAAACUAAAGAUGGCGACCGGCGCACGGGUGAGUAACACGUAUCCAACCUGCCGAUAACUCGGGGAUAGCCUUUCGAAAGAAAGAUUAAUAUCCGAUAGUAUAUUUUCUCCGCAUGGCGAGAAUAUUAAAGAAUUUCGGUUAUCAAUGGGGAUGCGUUCCAUUAGUUUGUUGGCGGGG
RNAcentral lists this ribosomal RNA (252 nucleotides) under uncultured bacterium. RNAcentral describes it as "partial 16S ribosomal RNA". It matches the Rfam family "Bacterial small subunit ribosomal RNA", at positions 15 to 257 of the family's 1533-position model. The record is from RNAcentral.